This is a long non-coding RNA of Mytilus trossulus (common blue mussel), 2721 nucleotides long. RefSeq lists it as uncharacterized. The transcript has 7 exons. NCBI's taxonomy places the organism in Eukaryota, Metazoa, Mollusca, Bivalvia, Mytilida, Mytilidae. The record is from RefSeq and is a predicted model, not a curated record.
UAGAAAAGGUCUAUUUUAUUUCGUUAAAUGGACUGACACAAAUGUGAAGUGUGCAUUGCACUUCUGACUUACUUAUAAUUAUUCUAUGUGUAUUAAAAAAGGAAAUGAUUUCAGAUUUGGGAGAAUUUUCAAACUUGUAGAAUAAUCUCACAACAUCAGAAGCAAAACUUUUGGCGAGUUUUUAAACAGGAGCAUUUCCAAACUUAUGGAAUGAUCUAACAACAUCAGGGUCAAAACAUUUGGAGACAUUUUCAAAAGGAGAAUUUCCAAACUUGUGGAAUAAUCGCACAACAUCAGAAGAAAAAGUUUGGCGACUUUUAUAAACAGGAGAAUUUCUCAACUUGUGGAAUAAUCUUUAAACAGAAGAACAAAAACUUUCGGCGACUUUUACAAGGAAAUUUACUCAUACAGAAAAGAAAACUAGAGACUCCAAGAGGCAGGAAAUGAACAGAAUAGGCAAUCACAGAUCCAUAUCAGAUAAUAAAAUUGAAUCGAAAAUUUAAAGUGAUACUAACAUUGUUGGAAAUGUCGCAGGAUCACUUUGAUAAACUAAAAAAUCAACAACGAAUUGAGGAAAGUGACAAAGCUGUUAUUUAUUACUCCAGACCUUUUGAUAUCAUUUAUGUUAAUGAUAGAAACACAUUAAUUGACUGCUUUAUGAGAUUAAACAAUAUUGAAUAUAAAUAGACAUGUUUUUAUAUCACCCAAUAAUAUAAAAUUAUACUGUAUAUCUGGAAAUAUUGUGCAACUUAAUCGGUAGUUAUUGUAACCCAAUGUUUUUGUUCAUUCAAAUGGAUUGUACUUGGCCAUGAAAGGAGAAAAAAAUAAAAGCAGUGAUUAUUUAACUUUUCAAAAGCCCAAACUGCAUACAAAAUUUGAUGCAAAAAUAACCUGAUAUACGGUGUAUUGGUACAUGUGCAUUAUCAUUGUGUGUUAGCAUUUACUUGGUGCAAUGUAAUUGAUAACAAAAAUAAGAAAUAUAAUUGAUGCCUAAAAAGCAGCUUAUUCAGACCAUUUUAAUGAUGGACAUACUUUAUUUAGAUAUAAGGUAUAUCCACUUGUUUAGGCAAAAAUCCAAGAGCUAAUUGUAAUGGGGGGGGGGGGGGGAGGAAGGACGGCACUUUUAUUAAAAUUUAAUUGGUGGUGGUUAUUUAAGAAAGAUUGCUUGAACGUUUAAUUGAAAUAACCAAUUAAAAAUCUAUGCAUGGUGGGGUCAAAGACAAACCAGAUUAAACAACAGUAUUUGGUAACCAUAAAGAAAAAUCUUUGAUUAUUUAGAAAAUGUGUGAUUAUACAUUCAUUGGGGGCCACAAGAGGGUGCUACAAAUUUGUGUGUAUUAAGUAAUAUUAUUGCCAACUAUUUCUGAAAGCUUGGUUCACAAUUUUUGAACAAACAGUCCUGCAGACGAAAAUGUCUGCUCUAAUUGCACGGAUGUAGCGGAUAGGCUAAGGUCAACAUUUUUGACUUAAAUGUUAGCUUAGGGAAACUGUCCUCGUGUAUAGACGACUUCUUCUUGGGGCCAUUUUAAAUGACAAUUAAGCACAAACAUGCUUAACAAAACGUAUUCUAACUAUGAUUAAUCCUUGAUUACUAUUUAAUUGUCAGACGGGCAUUCACAGGAAAAUUAAUUUUAUAUAAAAAGGGUGUUCUAACAGGAAACUGAUUAGUUGAGUAUCCUUUUGGUAUUCGAUGCUCAGUACUACCGAGCAAUACUUGAGUACUCGACUACUCGUUGACAACCCUAAUAUAUAGAAAGUUUUUUGCCCAUAAUUGAUGUACCAACAUGACAUCAUAUAUCCUGUUCUGGUAUCAAACUUGAACUAUUGACAUUUUAAAACUUUUUGUACCCUUCAGAAUGUAAUAAAAUUUGACAAAAAUAAUAUUUGCAGGUUAAAAGUGCGAGUUUUUUUGUAUAUGAUGGAAAAAUCGCAUAUCUCCUUUGCCAUGGAGGAUAUGUGCAUCGUUUUGAUCUUUCAAAGUCAUUAAUGACCCAAUGAAUAGCCAAUAGAAAUGCCGCAAUAUUGCUUCAAGAUGCUGAAUAAGUCAAUCUUAUUACACAAUUUUCGUAUCACAUUCCAUGCAGUAGUAUGACACAAGAAAUAUCUAUUCGUGUGAGAAAUAGAUAAAAGGCAUACACCAUAAAGAGCAUUAGUUGUAUUUAUAUUCUGCCUAAAUGUAAAAAAGAAAUAUACUAUAAAAAUACAAUACAAAGAUAAACGAAUGUCCUUGGUUCUUUUUCAAUUUUCGGUUAUGAAAAAUAAGAAGUAAGAUAAACAAACGUAGAAACAGAUGAUAAUAGUGUUUUAAAUGACAUUUGAAGAGGCAGCUUUUAUUUUUUAUGCUCUAAGGAAAUAAUAAAAUAUAUGAAGCUCUUACUUUUUGCUACACAACUAUUUGAACCAAAAAAUGACACAGCAUUUGUCAAAGCUAACAAUACGUCAUUUGUAUUGCAUUGAUUUACUGUAAGCAUCAGUUGUGGGCUAUUUUGUAUCUUGUUGUACAUGUUAUGCAUGAUUAUCAUUUUGUCAUAAUUGUAUGUAACAUAUACUUGUUAACCUAUUAAAUUAAGUGCAUAAAUGUAUAUAUAAAGACAUUAUCUAAAUGAUUGUUAUUAUGUAAAAUAAUAUGUUAAAAACCUUUAGGACUGAUGGUUUUUCAAUGAUGUAUUUUAUUUUGAAUAAGGGAUUAUGUUAAAAAAUGCAUAUUACCAAUUGUAGAUA